GGAAUUUUGCACAAUGGACGAAAGUCUGAUGCAGCGACGCCGCGUGGGGGAUGAAUGCCUUCGGGUUGUAAACCCCUUUCAGGAGGGACGAAGCGAAAGUGACGGUACCUCCAGAAGAAGCCCCGGCCAACUACGUGCCAGCAGCCGCGGUAAUACGUAGGGGGCGAACGUUGUCCGGAUUUAUUGGGCGUAAAGAGCUCGUAGGCGGCUCAGCAAGUCGGCCGUGAAAACCCGGGGCUCAACCCCGGGA
Molecule: ribosomal RNA, 250 nt
Filed under: uncultured bacterium
Lineage: Bacteria
Description: partial 16S ribosomal RNA
Rfam family: Bacterial small subunit ribosomal RNA
Source: RNAcentral